UACGUAGGGUGCGAGCGUUGUCCGGAAUUAUUGGGCGUAAAGGGCUCGUAGGCGGUCCAUCACGUCGGGAGUGAAAAGCUGGGGCUUAACCCCAGUCCUGCUUCCGAUACGGGUGGACUAGAGGUAGGCAGGGGAGAACGGAAUUCCUGGUGUAGCGGUGAAAUGCGCAGAGAUCAGGAAGAACAUCGGUGGCGAAGGCGCUCUGCUGGACCAUAACUGACACUCAGGGACGAAAGCUAGGGGAGCGAAUGGG
Molecule: ribosomal RNA, 253 nt
Filed under: uncultured bacterium
Lineage: Bacteria
Description: partial 16S ribosomal RNA
Rfam family: Bacterial small subunit ribosomal RNA
Source: RNAcentral